This 325-nucleotide ribosomal RNA is filed under the name uncultured eukaryote. RNAcentral describes it as "partial 18S ribosomal RNA". It matches the Rfam family "Eukaryotic small subunit ribosomal RNA", at positions 1470 to 1796 of the family's 1831-position model. The record is from RNAcentral.
CCCUUAGAUGUUCUGGGCCGCACACGCGCUACACUGAAGGAGGCAGCGUGUACUCCUGGAUCGAAAGAUUUGGGUAACCCGCGAAUCUCCUUCGUGCUAGGGAUUGAGGUUUGCAAUUAUCCUUCAUGAACGAGGAAUUCCCAGUAAGUGCAAGUCAUCAGCUUGCAUUGAUUACGUCCCUGCCCUUUGUACACACCGCCCGUCGCACCUACCGAUUGAAUGGUCCGGUGAAAUCUUCGGAUCUGAGAGAUGUCUGAUUAAUUUCGGACGCCUUUUGGAAAAGUUGCUUAAACCUUACCAUUUAGAGGAAGGUGAAGUCGUAACA